This is a long non-coding RNA of Pomacea canaliculata, 3036 nucleotides long. RefSeq lists it as uncharacterized. The transcript is spliced from 2 exons. The record is from RefSeq and is a predicted model, not a curated record. NCBI's taxonomy places the organism in Eukaryota, Metazoa, Mollusca, Gastropoda, Architaenioglossa, Ampullariidae.
GACUGCGAACAAAAGGUGGAAAAGCAGGCGUUAACUGUUAAACCAUUCUCUCCAUUGACUAGUCGUGUGCGGACUUGAAGCUUAUUUUCACAGACCCCCACGGACGACGAACUAACUAAGGAAACGCAGACAACUUCUGUUUAGUUUUGCUCACGUGAUAUCUGAUCAAAUUUACACCUUGUAACAUGGAAAUGUCGACUCAUAUAAACCAAUUGGAAAAGUUUUGUUAAACUUCUGUUAACUGCACUAAACAAAAAGAAGGACAAAAACCAGAAACUACAAUUUUAAUAAUUAAUAUACAGGAUCUAUACAGAAGACUUCAAAACCAUUGUGCAAAGAACAAGUUGGUUGACUGUCCUUGUUCUCUCCCCAAGAGAAGCUAUUCAGUGAAAACGGAAAAUGUCGAGAAAGAAAGGACAGGUGUUCAGUGCUGAUUACUACUACACGAAAGCCCUGGACUAUUUGUCUUCAUUCGACGAGGACAGCAGCGCACCGCCGACAGCCUGCCCAUGCCUGUGCGGCAGCUCGGACGGCGACGACAGCAACUUCUCUCUGGGUGGCUUCCGCCCAGGCCUGCCGCAAGAUGAGGGCAACCCAGCAGACGCAGCAGCUACAGCGGAAGCAGUAGUAGUGACCUCCCCUGCGAGGGGGAAGCAGCCAAGACCGGAAGUGACGAGGGCAGAUCGGAGGCGCGCGCCAAGCGGAAGCUGUCCGACGGUCACGUGCACUGGGCGGACGAGUUCCGGAAAGAGUUGACUCGCUGCAAUCCGCGCAAGAGCUACACUCGCCACCCGUCGCUCCACCAGCUGCAGGUGAAGCCCAUUCUUAAGGCGACGACAGAAGACAACACGAGCCAGGGGACCCAGACCCCAUCCGCUAGCUCUCUGCGAUCCGUGUAGAAUUGUCGGCAAUCGGGAAUCAGGUGAUUCCCUUUGAUCGGUGUUUCACAGGCAAAAACUUCAAGAACUAGUCUAGAGUCAAGGUCUAGCAUUUACCUGCAUCGUCAGCAUGUUUGUAAUUGACAUUUCGAUAAAGACCUGCGCAGAACGUGCAGGUGUGAAAGAAAGGACAAAAGAACAAAAACACUCUUACGGUAUGUUUGAAAGAACAGUGUCACGACAGUGAUGAUGGUAUAAAUAGGAUCACAUUCCAAGGGUGUACUGAUCACGGCGAAGACUUCGAAGCAAGUCUUGGAAAGAAGAAAAAAAAACGUUGGGCACCCACACGAUUUUUUUGUCUUGCUUCUGACGCUUGGACACUUUGUGUGAGAGUGAGAAGAAGCUCGUGUGGACGUCCUGUCAAAAAGGAGAAUGUUUUAAUUUUUUUUUUAUUGUUAAUGUUAAGAGUAGUUCUACGGGUCGAAAUUUUGAUUCCUCUGCUCACAUACUGUGCGAUGUUUAUAGCAGGUACGUGCGAUCCUAUGAAAAUGUGAAUGAAUGUGAGUGUGUGAGAGUGAGUGAGAGAGAGAGCGAGAGAGAGAGAGCGAGAGAGAGAGCGAGAGAGAGAGAGCGAGAGAGAGAGCGAGAGAGAGCGAGAGCGAGAGAGAGAGAAAUUAUUUCACAAGAAUCAAAACUACAUGCAAUGUCCAAGAGGUGGAAGUAUUCCCGUAACCUUUUAAGCUGCUAUAGAGGUGUUAAAGACCGCACUUUUUCUCGGGACCAGCUUUUUGUGAGGGCGGUGACCAUCUCUCCAUCUCUACCUUACCUUCCUCAACCUUCUAUCCUUCAGAUACAAAUUGAAGUCAGCUGGGUCCACUGGGGGAAAGUUUACUGCGCUCCACCCUUUUCUAACCAGAUCACCUCCUGGUUAGGAGGUAGCUAUGGACUGUCAGAAUGUAGGGUCAUCUAACCUGGCGACUCUGCCGUUUUUGAAGAGUUUUGUCAAGGCUGACGAUUGCCAACCCUCCUAACGAGCUGGUGUGAUGCCUGUGGUCCUGAAACUGACCAGCGGAUGCUGUUAAUGAGAGAAAGUAGCACUCGUCUCAAGGAGGGAAACCAAUUAAAGCAUGCGUGGGUAUAAAAUCGGUUCAUUCCCACCCUUUACUUGCACUUCUCUUCCCUAAUCCUCUCUCUUGUUUUCUUUCUUUCUUUUUUUUUAUCUCGUCUCUUCCUCCCUACAUUACUUUCUCUUCCACUAGAUGUUUACUAAUCUAUGUAGACCCGGAAAGUUGCUGCAAAAGUAUGUUUAAUUUGACAGUAGUUUUCAGUCUGGGUACAAUUGCUAUGUUUUAAAGAAAUUCGAACAACUUGAUGUUUCUUUGGUAUGAUUACAUCUUGAAAGUUUGCUUCAUUUUCAGCUUGCUUUGUUUUUCAAAAGUUUCUAAAAUACCAGGCUGCAGGAUGCUUUUUUUGUUUGUAACAAUUGCUACAACAUAAAUGUAUGACUUAUGAUUAUCAGAAAGUUUACUUCACGUUCUGUUGUUGAUGUAGCUCGUUGGCGGAUUUUAUUGGCAGUCUAUUUGACUUACGUUAAACUUAGUUAACGGUAAUAAGAUAGCUUUUACAUCAUUUCAUAUUUUUCUCGUGUAAUUAUGAAUGGAAAUAAUUGUUUUUGCAUGAUACAUUUUUAUACCAACCAGUCAGCCAGUAAAUCAGUCAAUCAAACCAGGUACAUGUUAAGAAUUGAAGAAAAAUGUAUGUGUGUGUGUGAGAGAGAGAUGGUGAUUAAAGGGCAGAAUAGGUCACUCUCUAGUGAUUGCAAGCCAAAGUGGUGACUGAAGGGCAAAAUGCUUAACUCGCUGGGUGCUACGAAGCGCGGAGCAUCCUUUUCUGGUACCGAAGAUCUUCCACGAAGACAGAACUCAAGAGACUGGAGUGAGCAUCCAGAGCGAACCACAUGUUGUGAGCAUAACCCUAAGCAUAUCCUCAUGAAGAAGAUCUGGCACUUCUACUCACUAUUUGUCAACCUUAAGUAUCAUUCGAGCGCAGGUGUGAACAAGGAACCCAAUAUCUAGUCCAGCAGGGAACCAAUAUCCAAUUUCAAUUUCCAGACAAACAAUUUCAUGAAAAGGAUUAAUAAAGAUGCUUCGUAUUUGUA